UACGUAGGGGGCAAGCGUUGUCCGGAUUCAUUGGGCGUAAAGAGCGUGUAGGCGGCCAGGUAGGUCGGUUGUGAAAACUGGAGGCUCAACCUCGAGACGUCGAUGGAAACCAUCUAGCUAGAGUCCGGAAGAGGAGAGUGGAAUUCACGGUGUAGCAGUGAAAUGCGUAGAGAUCGUGAGGAAGACCAGUGGCGAAGGCGGGUCUCUGGACAGUUCCUGACACUGAGGCACGAAGGCCAGGGGAGCAAACGGG
Molecule: ribosomal RNA, 253 nt
Filed under: uncultured bacterium
Lineage: Bacteria
Description: partial 16S ribosomal RNA
Rfam family: Bacterial small subunit ribosomal RNA
Source: RNAcentral